RNAcentral lists this unclassified non-coding RNA (341 nucleotides) under soil metagenome. Its description in RNAcentral is "partial contains 5.8S ribosomal RNA, internal transcribed spacer 2, and large subunit ribosomal RNA". The stretch from base 1 to 120 matches the Rfam family "5.8S ribosomal RNA", at positions 35 to 154 of the family's 154-position model. The record is from RNAcentral.
GAUGAAGAACGCAGCGAAAUGCGAUAAGUGGUGUGAAUUGCAGAAUUCAGUGAAUCAUCGAAUCUUUGAACGCACAUUGCGCCCUUUGGUAUUCCAAAGGGCAUGCCUGUUCGAGCGUCAUUUGUACCCUCAAGCUUUGCUUGGUGUUGGGCGUCUUGUCUCUAGCUUUGCUGGAGACUCGCCUUAAAGUAAUUGGCAGCCGGCCUACUGGUUUCGGAGCGCAGCACAAGUCGCACUCUCUAUCAGCAAAGGUCUAGCAUCCAUUAAGCCUUUUUUUCAACUUUUGACCUCGGAUCAGGUAGGGAUACCCGCUGAACUUAAGCAUAUCAAUAAGCGGAGGA